AGAGUUUGAUCCUGGCUCAGGAUGAACGCUAGCGGCAGGCUUAACACAUGCAAGUCGAGGGGCAGCGCGGGGCGGCAACGUCCUGGCGGCGACCGGCGGAAGGGUGCGUAACGCGUGAGCGACAUGCCCGUUGCCCGGGGACAACCGGUGGAAACGCCGACUAAUCCCCGAUGGGACGGAGGCCCUCAUGGGUCUCUGUUGAAAGUUACGGCGGCGACGGAUUGGCUCGCGUCCGAUUAGCUAGUUGGCGGGGUAACGGCCCACCAAGGCUACGAUCGGUAGGGGUUCUGAGAGGAAGGUCCCCCACAAUGGAACUGAGACACGGUCCAUACUCCUACGGGAGGCAGCAGUGAGGAAUAUUGGUCAAUGGGCGGAAGCCUGAACCAGCCAUGCCGCGUGAAGGACUAAGGCCCUAUGGGUCGUAAACUUCUUUAGACGCAGAGCAAUAAGGGUCUCGUGAGAUCCGAUGAGAGUAUGCGUAGAAUAAGCAUCGGCUAACUCCGUGCCAGCAGCCGCGGUAAUACGGGGGAUGCGAGCGUUAUCCGGAUUUAUUGGGUUUAAAGGGUGCGUAGGCGGAAGUGCAAGUCAGCGGUGAAAUCCCCGCGCUCAACGCGGGAGUUGCCGUUGAUACUGUACAUCUGGAAUGCUCUUGCCGUGGGAGGAAUGAGUAGUGUAGCGGUGAAAUGCAUAGAUAUUACUCAGAACACCGAUUGCGAAGGCAUCUCACGAAGGGGCGAUUGACGCUGAGGCACGAAAGCGUGGGUAUCGAACAGGAUUAGAUACCCUGGUAGUCCACGCAGUAAACGAUGAUGGCUAACUGUCGGGUUUUAGGAUUCGGCGGCCAAGCGAAAGCGAUAAGCCAUCCACCUGGGGAGUACGACCGCAAGGUUGAAACUCAAAGGAAUUGACGGGGGCCCGCACAA
This 923-nucleotide ribosomal RNA is filed under the name uncultured Bacteroides sp. RNAcentral's name for it is "bacterial SSU rRNA". It matches the Rfam family "Bacterial small subunit ribosomal RNA", at positions 8 to 928 of the family's 1533-position model. Lineage: Bacteria; Pseudomonadati; Bacteroidota; Bacteroidia; Bacteroidales; Bacteroidaceae. The record is from RNAcentral.